Molecule: unclassified non-coding RNA, 165 nt
Filed under: uncultured Sordariales
Lineage: Eukaryota; Fungi; Ascomycota; Sordariomycetes; Sordariales
Description: sequence contains ITS1
Source: RNAcentral
GCGAGUGUAAAACUCCAAAACCCACUGUGAACAUACCUUUUCAGUUGCUUCGGCGGGCGGCUCCGGGGGAGCCUCCAGGCCUUUUCAGGUGCCCGCCGACAGCACCCCAAAACUCUUUAUCUCUAGCGAGCUUCGGCUUCUGAGUGGACAAAAUAAAACAAGUAA